RNAcentral lists this ribosomal RNA (490 nucleotides) under uncultured bacterium. RNAcentral describes it as "partial 16S ribosomal RNA". It matches the Rfam family "Bacterial small subunit ribosomal RNA", at positions 28 to 507 of the family's 1533-position model. The record is from RNAcentral.
GAUGAACGCUAGCGGCAGGCCUAAUACAUGCAAGUCGAACGGGAUCCAGAUCAAAGCUUGCUUUGGUCUGGUGAGAGUGGCGCACGGGUGCGUAACGCGUGAGCAACCUACCCUUGUCAGGGGGAUAGCCCGGCGAAAGUCGGAUUAAUACCGCAUGACAUCAUUGAGAGGCAUCUUUCGAUGAUCAAAGAUUUAUCGGACAAGGAUGGGCUCGCGUGACAUUAGCUAGUUGGUAAGGUAACGGCUUACCAAGGCUGCGAUGUCUAGGGGCUCUGAGAGGAGCAUCCCCCACAGUGGUACUGAGACACAGACCAGACUCCUACGGGAGGCAGCAGAAAGGAAUAUUGGUCAAUGGACGGAAGUCUGAACCAGCCAUGCCGCGUGCAGGAGGACGGCCCUAUGGGUUGUAAACUGCUUUUAUACGGGAACAAACGUCGGUACGUGUACCGGUCUGAGUGUACCGUAAGAAUAAGGAUCGGCUAACUCCGUG